Molecule: ribosomal RNA, 560 nt
Filed under: Centropyge multispinis (dusky angelfish)
Lineage: Eukaryota; Metazoa; Chordata; Actinopteri; Pomacanthidae
Description: partial small subunit ribosomal RNA
Rfam family: Bacterial small subunit ribosomal RNA
Source: RNAcentral
GGUUAAGAUCACUAAGUCACUAAAGCCAAACGCCUUCCCUGGCCGUGAUACGCACACGAGAGUAAGAAGCCCGAUUACGAAAGUAGCUUUACAACACCUGAACCCACGAAAGCUAGGACACAAACUGGGAUUAGAGACCUCACUAUGCCUAGCUAUAAACAUAGACAGUUUUUACACCUAACUGUCCGCCCGGGAACUACGAGCGCUAGCUUAAAACCCAAAGGACUUGGCGGUGCUUUAGACCCCCCUAGAGGAGCCUGUUCUAGAAUCGAUAACCCCCGUUCAACCUCACCCUUCCUUGCUCUUUCCGCCUAUAUACCACCGUCGUCAGUUUACCCUUUGAGGGUCGAACAGUAAGCACAAUUGGCUCCCCCCUAAAACGUCAGGUCAAGGUGUAGCGAAUGGAAGGGAAAGAAAUGGGCUACAUUGCUUGACACCAAGGCAUACGAACGAUAUGUUGAAAUACAUAACUGAAGGAGGAUUUAGCAGUAAGCAGGAAAUAGAGUGUCCCGCUGAAAUCGGCUCUAAAGCGCGCACACACCGCCCGUCACUCUCCCCGA